RNAcentral lists this ribosomal RNA (253 nucleotides) under uncultured bacterium. Its description in RNAcentral is "partial 16S ribosomal RNA". It matches the Rfam family "Bacterial small subunit ribosomal RNA", at positions 524 to 776 of the family's 1533-position model. The record is from RNAcentral.
UACGUAGGUGGCAAGCGUUAUCCGGAUUUAUUGGGCGUAAAGGGAACGCAGGCGGUCUUUUAAGUCUGAUGUGAAAGCCUUCGGCUUAACCGGAGUAGUGCAUUGGAAACUGGUAGACUUGAGUGCAGAAGAGGAGAGUGGAACUCCAUGUGUAGCGGUGAAAUGCGUAGAUAUAUGGAAGAACACCAGUGGCGAAAGCGGCUCUCUGGUCUGUAACUGACGCUGAGGUUCGAAAGCGUGGGUAGCAAACAGG